GGGCCCGCACAAGCGGUGGAGCAUGUGGUUUAAUUCGACGCAACGCGAAGAACCUUACCUGGGCUUGAACUGCAGUGGACCGGUAUAGAGAUAUGCCUUUUCGCAAGAACUGCUGCAGAGGUGCUGCAUGGCUGUCGUCAGCUCGUGUCGUGAGAUGUUGGGUUAAGUCCCGCAACGAGCGCAACCCUUACCCGUAGUUGCCAGCGCGUCAUGGCGGGAACUCUACGGGGACUGCCCGGGUUAACCGGGAGGAAGGUGGGGAUGAUGUCAAGUCCUCAUGGCCCUUAUGUCCAGGGCUACACACGUGCUACAAUGGGCGAUACAAACCGUUGCAAAGUCGCGAGAUGGAGCUAAUCGGAGAAAGUCGUCCUCAGUUCGGAUUGUAGUCUGCAACUCGACUACAUGAAGGUGGAAUCGCUAGUAAUCGUGUAUCAGAAUGAUACGGUGAAUACGUUCCCGGGCCUU
This 465-nucleotide ribosomal RNA is filed under the name uncultured bacterium. RNAcentral describes it as "bacterial SSU rRNA". It matches the Rfam family "Bacterial small subunit ribosomal RNA", at positions 917 to 1382 of the family's 1533-position model. The record is from RNAcentral.